RNAcentral lists this unclassified non-coding RNA (269 nucleotides) under fungal sp. RNAcentral's name for it is "partial internal transcribed spacer region". The stretch from base 1 to 46 matches the Rfam family "Eukaryotic small subunit ribosomal RNA", at positions 1786 to 1831 of the family's 1831-position model. The record is from RNAcentral. Lineage: Eukaryota; Fungi.
AAGUCGUAACAAGGUUUCCGUAGGUGAACCUGCGGAAGGAUCAUUACAGAAUGUCACCUAUCAUUGGUACACUCUGAUUUAUAUCCCUUUGUCUACAUACUCUGUUGCUUCCAUGGUGCCAGCUAAGUCUUUGGCUCUGGACAGGAAAGUUUUGUACUACCUGCCUGGAAGUGCCCAUGGGUUAAUUAUAUAAAAAAACCUUUUUGCUGAAGUUGUCUGAAUAUAUUUUAAAUAAAAUAAAACUUUCAACAACGGAUCUCUAGGCUCUU